Molecule: ribosomal RNA, 519 nt
Filed under: Cladosporium sp. EXDX-1
Lineage: Eukaryota; Fungi; Ascomycota; Dothideomycetes; Cladosporiales; Cladosporiaceae
Description: eukaryotic LSU rRNA
Rfam family: 5.8S ribosomal RNA (bases 153-306)
Source: RNAcentral
AGAGACCCGGUCUACCACCGGGAUGUUCAUAACCCUUUGUUGUCCGACUCUGUUGCCUCCGGGGCGACCCUGCCUUCGGGCGGGGGCUCCGGGUGGACACUUCAAACUCUUGCGUAACUUUGCAGUCUGAGUAAACUUAAUUAAUAAAUUAAAACUUUUAACAACGGAUCUCUUGGUUCUGGCAUCGAUGAAGAACGCAGCGAAAUGCGAUAAGUAAUGUGAAUUGCAGAAUUCAGUGAAUCAUCGAAUCUUUGAACGCACAUUGCGCCCCCUGGUAUUCCGGGGGGCAUGCCUGUUCGAGCGUCAUUUCACCACUCAAGCCUCGCUUGGUAUUGGGCAUCGCGGUCCGCCGCGUGCCUCAAAUCGACCGGCUGGGUCUUCUGUCCCCUAAGCGUUGUGGAAACUAUUCGCUAAAGGGUGUUCGGGAGGCUACGCCGUAAAACAACCCCAUUUCUAAGGUUGACCUCGGAUCAGGUAGGGAUACCCGCUGAACUUAAGCAUAUCAAUAGGCGGGAGGAA